RNAcentral lists this ribosomal RNA (246 nucleotides) under uncultured bacterium. RNAcentral's name for it is "partial 16S ribosomal RNA". It matches the Rfam family "Bacterial small subunit ribosomal RNA", at positions 30 to 276 of the family's 1533-position model. The record is from RNAcentral.
AUUGAACGCUGGCGGCAUGCCUUACACAUGCAAGUCGAACGGCAGCACGGGGGCAACCCUGGUGGCGAGUGGCGAACGGGUGAGUAAUACAUCGGAACGUGCCCCGUAGCGGGGACAACCAGUCGAAAGACUGGCUAAUACCGCAUACGCUCCACGGAGGAAAGGCAGGGGAUCGCAAGACCUUGCACUAUGGGAGCGGCCGAUGCCCGAUUAGCUAGUUGGUGAGGUAAAGGCUCACCAAGGCAA